UGAGGAAUAAUGAUCAGUGGGUUUGCCCCUGAUCCCAACCUUUCCUUUAUCAAAGAUAUACGGCCCAUAUGGGUUGUAGAGUUUUUUUGUACAGGGAUUAAACCUAUUUACGUGUAAAUAGCUGAAGGUAUUGUAUGAAUAAGCACCGGGUUACUCCGUGCCAGCAGCCGCGUUAAUUUUGAGGCUCCACGCAUUAUCCGGAUUUAUUGGGUUUAAAGGGUCCGUAGGCGGAUCUGUAAGUCAGUGGUGAAAUCUCACAGCUUAACUGUGAAACUGCCAUUGAUACUGCAGGUCUUGAGUAAGGUAGAAGUGGCUGGAAUAAGUAGUGUAGCGGUGAAAUGCAUAGAUAUUACUUAGAACACCAAUUGCGAAGGCAGGUCACUAUGUCUUAACUGACGCUGAUGGACGAAAGCGUGGGGAGCGAACAGGAUUAGAUACCCUGGUAGUCCACGCUGUAAACGAUGCUAACUCGUUUUUGGGUUUUCGGAUUCAGAGACUAAGCGAAAGUGAUAAGUUAGCCACCUGGGGAGUACGAACGCAAGUUUGAAACUCAAAGGAAUUGACGGGGGCCCGCACAAGCGGUGGAUUAUGUAGUGUAAUUCGAUGAUACGCGAGGAACCUUACCAAGGCUUAAAUGGGAAUUGAUCGGUUAGAAAAUAGCCCUCCUUUC
RNAcentral lists this ribosomal RNA (670 nucleotides) under Chryseobacterium sp. RNAcentral's name for it is "bacterial SSU rRNA". It matches the Rfam family "Bacterial small subunit ribosomal RNA", at positions 355 to 1019 of the family's 1533-position model. The record is from RNAcentral. Lineage: Bacteria; Pseudomonadati; Bacteroidota; Flavobacteriia; Flavobacteriales; Weeksellaceae.